AAGGCCCUGAAUCAAGGCCAGCAGUUUGCUGAAGCUGUUGGUUUCAAGCAGGAGCCUAAAGAAAUGUCUUUUUAUGGUCUGUUGGCCAUUUCAGAACUUUGGAAAUGGUCAAUUCAUUAGAAAGAAACAUUC
Molecule: small nucleolar RNA, 132 nt
Filed under: Castor canadensis (American beaver)
Lineage: Eukaryota; Metazoa; Chordata; Mammalia; Rodentia; Castoridae
Source: RNAcentral